GACGAACGCUGGCGGCGUGCUUAACACAUGCAAGUCGAACGGAAAGUCCCUGCUUUGUUGGGGUGCUCGAGUGGCGAAGGGGUGAGUUACACGUGAGUAACCUGCCCUUGACUUUGGGAUAACUUCAGGAAGCUGGGGCUAAUACCGGAUAGGAGCUCCUGCUGCUUGGUGGGGGUGGGUUAGUUUCGGCGGUUGGGGGUGGACUGGCGGCUUAUGAGCUUGUUGGUUGGGUAGUGGCUUAGCAAGGCUUGGACGCGUAGCCGGGCUGAGAGGGGCACCGGCCACACUGGGCCUGAGAUACGACCCAGCCUCGAACGGGAGGCAGCGGAGGGGAGUAGAGCACAGUGGGCGGGAGCCUGACGCGACCAAGCAGCGCGCGGGAAGACGGCAAUGGCGUAGUAAACCGCAUUCGCCUGUGACGAAGCGUGAGUGACGGUAACGGGAGAAGAAGCACCGGCUAACUACGUG
Molecule: ribosomal RNA, 468 nt
Filed under: uncultured bacterium
Lineage: Bacteria
Description: partial 16S ribosomal RNA
Rfam family: Bacterial small subunit ribosomal RNA
Source: RNAcentral